GGAGGAAAAGAAACUAACAAGGAUUCCCCUAGUAACUGCGAGUGAAGCGGGAAAAGCUCAAAUUUAAAAUCUGGUAGUCUUUGGCUGCCCGAGUUGUAAUCUAGAGAAGCAUUAUCCGCGCUGGACCGUGUACAAGUGUCCUGGAAUGGACCAUCAUAGAGGGUGAGAAUCCCGUCUUUGACACGGACUCCCAGGGCUUUGUGAUGUGCUCUCAAAGAGUCGAGUUGUUUGGGAAUGCAGCUCUAAAUGGGUGGUAAAUUCCAUCUAAAGCUAAAUAUUGGCGAGAGACCGAUAGCGAACAAGUACCGUGAGGGAAAGAUGAAAAGAACUUUGGAAAGAGAGUUAAACAGUACGUGAAAUUGCUGAAAGGGAAACGCUUGAAGUCAGUCGCGUUGGCUGGGGAUCAACCUUGCUUUUUUGCUUGGCUUAUUUCCUAGUUGACGGGUCAGCAUCAGUUUUGACCAGUGGAUAAAGGUUGAGGGAAUGUGGCACCUUCGGGUGUGUUAUAGCCCUUGGUCAUAUACAUUGAUUGGGACUGAGG
Molecule: ribosomal RNA, 541 nt
Filed under: uncultured Termitomyces
Lineage: Eukaryota; Fungi; Basidiomycota; Agaricomycetes; Agaricales; Lyophyllaceae
Description: partial large subunit ribosomal RNA
Rfam family: Eukaryotic large subunit ribosomal RNA
Source: RNAcentral